Molecule: long non-coding RNA, 1570 nt
Filed under: Homo sapiens (human)
Lineage: Eukaryota; Metazoa; Chordata; Mammalia; Primates; Hominidae
Description: HSALNT0300722
Source: RNAcentral
UCCUUUCCCUGGGACAGGAGCUCCUCUAUAUCAUCAGAGGCAACGGGGUACCCAGAGGCUGCUUGGAUACCAUCAGUGACAGGGAGCUCACUCCUCUAAGCAUGAUCAGCAAACUGAGGUCUGGAGAGAUGAAGUGACAGGCACAAGCGGAAGCUUCAGGGAGGAAGGCUGCGGGCUGGAGAGAACCUGAGGCUGAGUUUCUUCCAUUUCAUCCAGCGCAUUCACCAAAGCACCCUGUGUGCCGAGGGCAGCGGGGGCCGUACCCUCCCGGAGCUCACGAAUGGGUGAGGGAGAAGCCCCUAGGCGGAGAAACUUACAAUCCCAUGUGGACAUGUGAACUCAGUGAGAGGAGGUGCUGCGGUGAGGGCCACUUCUUGGAGAUUUGGGAAAAGGAGCAGGAUGUUUCUGGCAGUGAGGCUGGGAAGGGCAUCCUUCAUAGCAGAGGGAAGCUGUGAGCAGAGCAGAGGCUGAGGACGACUCCACCCAAGGGGACCGGUGGGGCAGGGGCUGUGCCAGGGCUUGACCCGGAGCUCUGGGCUGUGUCCAGUUCCCUUCAAAUGAGAAAGAAGGCGCCAGAGGUGCAGGGGACAGGGGAUGCCUGCCAGCCAGGCCCCAUCUCCUCUGCUGUUUAGGGACUCGGGUUGGAAUUUCCACGACACUAUUUGGGGGAGGAUGAGGGAGCUGGUGGGAAAUGGGUUUGGGGGCGCGAGGCUUGAUAUCAUUUCUUCCGAUAAAGAGGCAUUGGCUCAGCUUUUCUGUCUUCUGCUUAAUCACUUUCAGAGGCUCAUUAGACUUAGAGGAAAUACACUUGCAAACUCAAACCACAUGCCACCCUCAGAGUACAUACUCCCAUCCCCAAAGCACACGUACCUCAGAGAAAGGAUCAUUGGUUCCCAAGAACAGGAGCCAUUCCGUGGAAGGGGUCACCUGCCUGGAGACUGCAGUGCUCCGAGGCCGUAGAGCAAGGUGGGUGGAAGCGGGUUUGAGAGUUUCAGGGACGGGCUGACUCUCACGGGGCCCUUACCACGUGCCUGCUGCUGUUCUCAUUGCAUUGCACGUAUUAACUCACUUAAGUCCCACCUGAAGGUGGCCACCAUCAUUGUUCCCAAAGAGCAGCUAGGCCCAGACAUGUUAAGUAACUUGCUUCAGAUCACAUGCAGCCAAGUGGCAAAGCCAAAAAUUGUCCAUAGUCAGGCCACCCGGGUUUGCAGCCCAGCUCUGCCAUUGACGAGCUGUGUGUGUUUGAACAAGUUACUCAGCCUUGCUGGUCACUCUUCUCCUGUGUGAAGUACAUGUAGCAAUUACAUCUGCCAACGGGGGGAUGAUUGAAGACCGGAUACACCAUGGGCCUAACACGGUGCCUAGGAUACAGUAAGUACCUGUCAAUUUAAGAAACAGCUGACUAGCUGAGGUCCCACUGAGAUGCCACCUCCUCCACAAGGCGUCUGUCCCUGAAGCUACUAAAGAUCACUCUGUUCAGGUUGGGCAGCACCAGGAUGUCUCCUCUGCAUCCCUACUGUACUGUGGCUAUUUUAUUUGACAAAUCUUCAUAUAGGACUUCCUGUGGGUC